RNAcentral lists this ribosomal RNA (254 nucleotides) under uncultured bacterium. Its description in RNAcentral is "partial 16S ribosomal RNA". It matches the Rfam family "Bacterial small subunit ribosomal RNA", at positions 524 to 776 of the family's 1533-position model. The record is from RNAcentral.
GACGGAGGGUGCUAGCGUUGUUCGGAAUCACUGGGCGUAAAGGGCGCGUAGGCGGCCUUGCAAGUCGGUUGGUGAAAGCCCGGGGCUCAACCCCGGAGGUGCGGCCGAGACUGCAGGGCUGGAGGCCGGAAGAGGAGGGUGGAAUACCCAGUGUAGAGGUGAAAUUCGUAGAUAUUCGCAAGAACACCAGUGGCGAAGGCGGCUCACUGGCCCGGUACUGACGCUGAGGUGCGAAAGCGUGGGGAGCAAACAGG